Molecule: ribosomal RNA, 143 nt
Filed under: Anaplasma sp.
Lineage: Bacteria; Pseudomonadati; Pseudomonadota; Alphaproteobacteria; Rickettsiales; Anaplasmataceae
Description: partial 16S ribosomal RNA
Rfam family: Bacterial small subunit ribosomal RNA
Source: RNAcentral
UAAUUGCACUUCGCCUGGGGACUACGGUCGCAAGACUAAAACUCAAAGGAAUUGACGGGGACCCGCACAAGCGGUGGAGCAUGUGGUUUAAUUCGAUGCAACGCGAAAAAACCUUACCACUUUCUUGACAUGGAAGGCUAGAA